Ornithodoros turicata is the source of this 975-nucleotide long non-coding RNA. RefSeq lists it as uncharacterized. The record is from RefSeq and is a predicted model, not a curated record. NCBI's taxonomy places the organism in Eukaryota, Metazoa, Arthropoda, Arachnida, Ixodida, Argasidae. The transcript has 4 exons.
UGAGGACCCCAGGAGGGACGUGGGGCAGGAUAUUUGAGCUGAACAUUUUAUGCUGAAUUUAUGCGUUCAGUGUCCAUGUCGUUUAUAUGUUGUAACCCUUGCACUAGGUGUCUUUUUAGCGAUUUUAAAGGAUCGCUAAAGCCGAUAUUUCGAACAGGAAUAUACCGGCAGCUCCCGAGGUUUCUUCGGGAUCGCAUUUCGAGGCGUUUGAUAAGGUGUACAGUAUUUAUCCUUCCCCUUCCAUAUCCUCCUCCUGCACAAACCUGUGUCCUGCAUCUUAGGCAUCUAACUUGCAUGUGUGCAAUACGUACAAAAUAAUUAGGUUUCAACAUUUUUCUCCCACCUAUAAUUUCCAGCUAAACUGUGCCCUUCAUCAGUGCUUCUUGGCCCAAGAACUGUGUCGUCCGGCAAGUCGCGGAAGCCGAUUUCACAGAUUCGAAAAAUCCUUCUAAAAUAUUAUCCUUAAAUAUCGGAGUUGCGAUCCGAACUAUUAUAUUCCAAACCAGCGCUGUCCAAACCUUCUAAACCACGCUUCUAAACACAACCGGCCCGGAAGCAUGGAAGCAGGAAGAGAGCAAAGAGAGGAUAGCCAGUAGUAGCCAGUAGUGCCGAUGGAACAAUCCAAUCCAAUCCAAAAAUUCUGAUUAAAAUAAGAUGGCGACAACGGACGCCAAGGAAACGCAAGAGCGACGUAUUCACGAGCUUCAGGUGCUGGAACACGAGCUGAACACACUUAAACAGGGAGCACAUGUCUUCAAGAAGCAGCCAAACAGCAACAUUUUCUUCACUGCCAGGCUACCGGAUGUGAAAUCUGAUGUGAAAAAAGAACUGGAAUCUCUGCGAGACUCGCAGCUGAAAGCAGAGAAGGCUACCUGAUGUUGGGUUUUGCCUAUGACUAGGGAGGCCCAAUAUUCAAGGAAUAGCUUUGUAUUGUUUGGAAAAUAGAACUGCCAAACAAGGCAGCCUUGAAAUAAC